AACCGAUGUGAGAGCCAAUUUUCUUUUGUCACAUAAACCCAUCGUUUCCAAACCCAUUUUCUUGUAAACGACCUUCAAACCCUUUUUCUCUCGCCAUCACCAAACUGCUUUCGCCAUUUUCUCUGGCCGUCACCUCCGUCCAAGCUCUUCAACCCAACCUUCAAAGCACUAUUUUCACUUGUCCAAAUCAUCCCUAUGAACUCUCACAUAUCCCCUAAGACCUUAUCACCAAAACCCGUUUCCAAACAACCCCUGCUUCGCAUCCGUCGCCGCCUUUUGAUUCUUCAAACAUCGUCCGUCUCCCUCGCUGAUGUCGACAGUGAUGCUUCAUCAAUGUCUUCGAUGUUUGAGCGGUGUUUUGCAGCGUUGUCUUCUCCUUCUAUUUCGUGUAAUGUUAAUCCGGUUAUGAAAGGAGGGAAGUACGAUGCGUUCGGGGGUGUUACGCUUGAGUAAUCGCAAGUUGAGUUGUCGCAACAGCAGAUGAAUAAGUCCUCCCCUGAGAAGAUACUUUGGCGCCAUUAGGUCGUUGGCUCAGUUCCGCCUCACCGGUGCUCAGAAGGAUUUCAUCGUCAUGGGUUCAGAUUCCGCAUGAGUAUGGUGAUACCACAAAUGAGUGUAUCUCAACAGGACCACAUUUUAAUCCCAACAAGUUGGCACAUGGUGCUCCUGAAGAUGAAAUCCGUCAUGUGGAUGACCUGGGAAACAUAGUUGCUAAUGCUG
This is a long non-coding RNA of Vicia villosa (hairy vetch), 720 nucleotides long. RefSeq lists it as uncharacterized. The record is from RefSeq and is a predicted model, not a curated record. Lineage: Eukaryota; Viridiplantae; Streptophyta; Magnoliopsida; Fabales; Fabaceae. The transcript has 4 exons.